AGGGGAUUUGCAUAUAUAAUACAAGGCUUGCACGAGGGCAAGCAACAACGAAAGCGAAAGCUCUAAGCUAAACAUUUACCCAUACAUAAUACUUGAUUGCUUUUGCACCAAAUAGAAGUAAACUGAACUAUUACAUUUCAUGCUUUCAUCCAUAAUUCUUUACAUUUAGCCAUUCACCAAAAUAUAUAUUAUUUUCAACUUUACAACUUUCUAGAACAACAAAAAGUUGAUACAUGUAUACAAAAGGGGAAUGACUACAAAAUGUAAAAUAGUCCCGAUGGCCGCUAUCUAUGGCGCUAAACCCUUGCCUCGGUCCUCCGCCGCCCCGCUCGUGCUAGGACCUGUAGGGUUAGUGGUGUGAGAACUAAAUAAAGUUCCCAGUGGGCUCGGCAUCCAACCUCGCCGACUUACCCACUAGGUCUAUCAAGGCAUAAGUAUUUCAAAGGAGGGAAAGUAACCACUACUAAUGCAACUAAUACUAUGCCUGCAAGAAAGAGGUCAACAGAUAUAUAAUUCAAUGCGAUAAUGGAAAUGCAUGCAUGCUCCAAUCGUAAAUAAGCUUUGGCUCUUACCUAAUCUUGCCGGUUAACUUUGUUAAUCCCAAUAACUCAUAACCCAAAUCCCGUCAUAACAGGGGGCCUCGAACCACCCCUAGGGACCGUCGUAGGGGACCUCGCUCCCCGAGGUGACUAUUUUCGAAAACUCACCGCUUGAGGGGGUGCUACCACCCUCAAGCCAAGACGUAUCAUGAGUAUCGAUCGAAUCCCCAACUUGAGGAUGCUUUGCCACUUAUUACAACGCCACAUUUAUGCUAGGUUCUCUACUCAUUUGUUCAUGUCACUUGCUAAUCAUUUUUGUCCCAAUGUCACUAUGGUUAAACCUAUGUUUAACACUUACUUGUCAAUGCCAAUCUAUCUCUCUAUUGUCAAUGUCAUAGGUAUUUACCAUUGCCAAGACCAAGUCUCACAAUCAUGCAAUCUCUAGGGUUCAACAAUACAUGUCCAUCGUGGUUCCAUAUCUUUCUACUUUCCAAUACAUUAGAAAAAACAUAAUGAAAUAACCAAAGUUCACAUGUAAAUUAAUCCUAAUAUGCAUGAGUGACUAUAAAACCAUAUGUUCAAAAUAGAGAAAUAGACAUAGAAGGGAAUCCAACGAUUCCGGCGUGCACCCCCCACCUUGUGAGGUGGUAGAAGACGAACGCGACAAUCUCCCGAACUCUAUGAACGAUGAUCCGCGCCCUACAACCCAAAAAUGGUGCCAAAUUAGGCCCUUUAUACAUGAACCACUCUUUAAUAUCCUCGUAAAAUUAAACGAAGUCGUCCCACGCGCUUAGGACACUCCUAAUUAGGUUUCUACGGGGUGAAUUUGUCCCCGAACAAUCCUAGGGCAAAAGCCCCAAUUUUCAAGCCCUAACAAUGUCAUUUAGGGUUCCCCCAUAAAUCGAUCCCAACCCUAAACAAACAAUAGCUUAGGAUCAUCUAAAAAGCAUCCUAGUAAGGUUUCUAGGCCUUUGGAACCAACCCUAGGGCUCUUAACGCAACUUCCAAGGAUUCACUAUGAGAACACCUUGAGCUUUCAUGGGUUUCAUGGUGGUCAUGGCUCAAAAGAGCCUCUAAAGCCACUAAGGAGCACAAAGUUCCAAAUCCCUGACCCAAAAUCCAAACCCUAGAGGAAAACCUUACAAAACUUACCUCUAGUCCAAGCUCCAUCAAGGUCCUUCUUGUUGGAGAGCUCCUAGAACUACUAAAGCACCAAAUCCACCUUCUUCUCCAAGUUCUUCUUCUUCUUCUCCAAGCUCUAGAGGGGUUCUAGAGAGAGAAAAAGAGAAAAUGAGAGAGGAGGAGAGAAAUGGCUGUGGGAGAGAGAGGAUGGGCCAUAUAUAGUGUUGUAAUAAUUGCACUUAAGCCCCUCCACUUGUUUCCCAUUGAUCUGCCCAGAUUGGGCAUUUUUCGCUUUCGGGGACCGGUCUCCCCGACCAGGGACCGGUUCCCGAACGGGGGUUUUCCAGGACUUAGCCCAUUUUCUGGCUUUUUCAGCUGGCUGCGCAGUGGGGGACCGGUCUCCCGAGGACCGGUCUCACCACCAGGGACCGGAUGCCUCAGGAUUUUCCUGGCAGACUACGCGUACGGGGACCGGUCUCUCCUUCAGGGACCGGUCCCCGAGAGCACAAAAUCUGGGACUUAGCCAGAUUUUGAAACUUCUCUCUCUCGGGUCCCUUUGCACUAUAUAUAGGCUCCAAUGCACUCGGGGCCUACACCAACUCGUUCCACACCGCGUUCCGCUCGUUUCGACGGAAUCCGGCACGAUUUACGAGGUAUGUGGUAUGUUACAUUCUCCACCCCUAAAAUUUAGUUUUGUCCGCGAAACUACUUAUUCGGAAUUGAAAUCCAUACCUCAAUUCAACUCGUCGAAGAGGUGAGGAUGGCGCUCUCGCAUCUUGCUCUCGAGUUCCCAAGUUUCUUCCCAAUCGCCGUGCUCACUCCAAUGAAUUUUAACAUAUAAAAUUUCGCGAUUCCGUAGUCUCCUUACUUCCCGCUCUACGAUGUAAGCCGGGAACUCUUCAUAUGUCAUAUCCUCCUGAAGCUCUAUCGGUAUAUACGAGAGAAUAUGUUCUGGAUCGUAAACAUACUUGCGGAGUUGGGAUACAUGGAAUACAUCAUGCACUCCCGCAAGCCUUGGUGGUAAUGCCAACUUGUAGGCCACCGCGCCAACUCGUUCCAAAAUCACGAAGGGUCCGAUAUAGCGGGGACUUAACUUCCCGCGAACACCGAACCGCUUAACUCCUCGCGUCGGCGAUACUUUUAGAAAUACGCGGUCUCCAACCGCGAACUCAAUAUCCUUUCGCCGUUUGUCGGCAUAACUCUUGUACCUUGAUUGCGUCGUCACUAAUCUUUGUCGGGCAAGGCGAACUUUCUCUUCCGCCUCCCGCACCACGUCGGGGCCAAGAACCAUCUUCUCGCCCACGUCGCUCCAAUGUAUUGGCGAGCAACACUUCCUACCGUAAAGGGCCUCGAAUGGUGCCAUCGCAAUGCUUUCUUGAUAGCUAUUGUUGUAUGCGAAUUCCGCCAUCAGUAAAUGAUCGUGCCAUCCGCCCUUGUAAUCAAGUACACACGCUCGAAACAUAUCCUCAAGUAUUUGAAUAGUCCUUUCCGAUCGACCGUCGCUCUGAGGAUGGAAUGCCGUACUAAAGUCGAGCCGUGUGCCCAAUGCAUCUUGCAAGCUCUUCCAAAAAUGAGAUGUGAACCUAAGGUCUCGAUCCGAUACAAUAGAUGUCGGAACCCCAUGAAGUCUCACCACCUCGUCGAGGUAUACUUGGGCUAGCUUGUCCCCCGAUCAAGUAGUGUGGAUCGGUAAAAAGUGUGCCGAUUUUGUCAACUGGUCCACAACUACCCAAAUCGCGUCAUGUGCACCUUGGGAUCUAGGUAAACCCGUCACAAAAUCCAUUGCGAUGUUUACCAAUUUUCACACGGGUAUAGGUAGACUUUGUAAUUUUUUCGCCGGAAAUCGACGUUCCGCCUUUACCUGUUGGCACGUGAGACAUUGCGCCACGAACUCUCCUAUAUCUUUCUUCAUGCCCGGCCACCAAUAAUGUAAUUUCAAGUCUCGAUACAUUUUGGUGCCGCCCGGGUGAAUACUAUCGGGAGAUUGAUGCGCUUCUUGCAUAAUCGCCCUCCGAAGGUCGUCGUCCCUGGGCACGCACCAAUGAUCCCGAUAUCGUAGUGCGCCAUCGGUUCCAAUGCCAAAAUCAUCGGCACCGCCGCUCUCAACUUUGUCCCGCACCUUUUGGAGAAAUUCAUCCGACACUUGUAAUCCUUUAAUUUUCUCCAACAAGGUUGGUUGCACAACUAGGGUGGCAAGUGUUGCCGGCACUUCCGGCGCCACAACUUCUAGGCCAAACCGUUGCAUCUCCUUUUGCAAAGCCGGUUGGGACGUAAUUUCCGUCGCCAAAUUUUCCGCCGACUUUCUGCUCAGAGCGUCGGCCACGACGUUCGCUUUCCCAGGGUGGUAGAGAAUCGUAACAUCAUAAUCUUUGAGCAACUACUCCAACCACCGCCGUUGUCGCAAGUUUACCUCCUUUUGGGUGAACAAGUAUUUGAGACUUUUGUGAUCGGUGUAGAUCUCGCAAUGUUCCCUAUACAAAUAAUACCUCCACAAUUUUAGCGCGAAAACAACCGCCGCUAGCUCAAGAUCGUGGGUCGGGUAAUUCUUUUCGUAACUCUUCAGUUGGUGCGAAGCAUAAGCUAUGACUCGGCCGUUCUGCAUUAAGACACACCCGAGCCCGAUGUAUGAAGCAUCACUAUAUAUGACGUAACUCUCUCCCGGCGUCGGUAAGGCAAGCACCGGAGUGGACGUCAAUCUAUUCUUCAGCUCCUCGAAGCUUCGCUUACACUCGGGGCCCCAAACAAAUUUCACCCCUUUGUGCGUAAGGCGCGUUAGUGGAGUUGUUAUCCUAGCAAAUCCCUCCACGAACCACCAGUAGUAACCCGCAAGUCCAAGGAAGCUACGAAUUUCCGCCACACUUGUCGGGCGAGGCCAAUCUUUAAUCGCCUCAACUUUCUUUGGAUCCACCGAGAUACCAUCUCCGGAUACAACGUGACCCAAGAAGGUAACCUCCGAAAGCCAAAACUCACAUUUCUUUAGUUUUGCGUAAAGCCUUUCCUUCCGGAGUAUCUCCAACACGAGUCUUAAAUGCUCCUCGUGUUCUUCUUCGGUCCGAGAAUAUACCAAUACGUCGUUAAUCAAUACCACGAUGCACCGGUCCAAUAGCGGAUGGAAGACUCGGUUUAUUAGGUCCAUAAAUGCCGCCGGGGCAUUAGUGAGCCCGAAUGGCAUGACCGUAAACUCGUAAUGGCCAUACCGCGUACGGUACGCCGUUUUGUGCACGUCUUUGGGCCGUAUCUUCAAUUGAUGAUACCCCGAUUGCAGAUCAAUCUUAGAAUAUACCCUUGACCCUUGCAACUAAUCGAAUAGAUCAUCAAUCCUAGGCAACGGGUACUUGUUCUUGAUCGUCACCUUGUUCAACUCGCGAUAAUCAACGCAGAGUCGAAGUGUGCCGUCCUUCUUCUUUACGAACAGCACUAGAGCUCCCCACGGGGACAUGCUCGGCCGUACGAAGCCUUUAUCGAGCAAGUCUUGCAACUGGGCUUUCAAUUCUUUCAGCUCCACCGGUGCUAUUCUAUACGGAGCCUUCGAAACUGGCGCCGCCCCAGGUAUCAAGUCAAUAACGAACUCGACUUCCCGGUCUGGUGGCAAUCCCGGUAACUCCGCCGGAAACACAUCCGGAUACUCGCAUACGACUCGAAUAUUUUCUAAUUCCGGAUACUCCUUUUGAGGGUCCACGAUGGUCGCCAAAUAAGCCUUGCAACCACCCUUGAUCAUUUUCUUCGCCCUCACUGACGAUAUGGUCGCUGCGAAACGCGCACCAUUACACGCCUUAUAGACCAUCUCCUCUUGGUUAGGCUCAUGAAAAGUGAUAACCUUCCAUUCGCAAUCGAUAACCGCGUAAUACUUGGAGAGCCAAUUGGUGCCCAAGAUUACGUCAAAUCCCCACAAUUGCUUCAACACUAACAGGUCGAUCGGCAUGAUCCAAUCGCCUAUCUGUACUGGACAGUCUAAGCACUCAUCAUGCACAUAGAAUGUAAGUCCAGGUGCCGUCACCGUCCAAUAGUCCUCAUAACGCGUGACCUCUAUGUCAUGAGCUAGUGCGAAUGAUGCCGUUAUGAAUGAUUGAGAUGCACCUGUGUCAAAUAUGGCUCUAGCUCUAGUGCCUCUGAUAAGAAUGAUACCUGCCACGACGUCGUCAGGAACAGUAAUUGGUGGCUCCUCCACCUGAGUGUGCAAAUACCCGCCCACUAGGUGCUCGAGAGGCCUCCGGCUGACGAGGCGCCGAUGAUCGUCUAGCUGACACGACGGGUGGCAGUCCCGCCAGCUGCCGCUGAGUGUACUGCACUGAAGCUGAUGACGGGGCUGGGGAUGCACCGCCAGGGCAUUCUCGGCCGAUGUGUCCAGGUUGGCCGCAUCGGUAACACCGCCCCUCCCGCUGUGGGCAACCAGUAACUCGGUGGUCUCCGCCACAAAUCACGCACGGGUAGGUAAUCUGACUCCUUCCACCCCGCAACUGUGAUCGCUGAGGUCGCGGGGGUCGCUUAGAGCUUGACUGCCCCGCCGAUCCACCAGCCGGUCGCUUCUUGGUCUUCUCCCUCUCAUUCUCAAGAGUUUCGCGCUCAUCACGCGCAAUGGCAUUCCCACGCUCCACCCAAAGCGCGCGGUCAAGAACCUCUUCAUAGGUCUUCAAGCGGAAUGCAUGCACAACCUUGAAAAUCUAAGGUCGCAAUCCGCGUUCGAAUGCCUCCGCUCGGUCCCUGUCACCGUGAACUAAGUCCGGCACGUACUACAACAAAAACGGUAUAUAGCGACACUUUUAAAUAUAGGUACAUGUCAAAAAAGUGCUGCUAGCUAAAAUUACCGACACUUUUAAAAAGUGUUGCUAUGUGUGGGGUCGCUAGGUAUAUAGUGACAGUUAAAGAGUGUCGCUAUAACCUAAAAGAGUGCUGCUAAUUUACCAAUACUUAUUUAAGCAUUUAGCAACCGCCGAAACUCUAUCUCAUUGGCUGCGGUGGCGGAGGAGAAUGACAGGAAAGGCUCUUCGUCUAGAAUUUCAGUGGAUUGAGUGAAGAAAGAAGAAAAUAUAGUAAUUGAUUUUUUUUUCUUUUCUGUUUGUAAUCGGACCAAAUGGACUGGGUGUGGUGGGUUGAGUAGAGUAAUUUUUUAUUUUUGGUUGGAUUGGGCUUUAUAUUUAGGCAUUAGUAGAUGUUUUUCUAAGUUUUAGCAUAAAUGGGACACUUACUCAAAAGUGUCCCAAACAUGUGUCCCUAUAACCUAAUUCUGUUGUAGUGACGCAGUUAAUCAUGUGCGUGAAUUCCCUCUCGUACUCCCGCACUGAUCGGCUUCCCUGCCUCAAUUUUCGAAAAUCUUCCUUGAUCUUCCUUUUAUCGCUCUCGGGGAAAUACUCCAUAAAUAGCAUCUCCCGAAACACCUCCCAAGAAAUAUAAGCGUGUCCUAACGAACGAUUUCUCUUCGCUUGAUUCCACCACAACCGAGCCGACCCAUCAAAACAAUGAGCCGCAAGGUGUGCUUUGUCCUUCUCAAGCGUGUAGAUAUCCUCAAACAAUGCCUCCAUCGCGGCUAGCCAAUUCUCCUUCACCCACGAAUCCUUCACGUCGCCGAUAAAGGUUGGAGGGUUGAACCGCUUGAAUGCCGUCAGCACCGCCAACGUACUCUCCUGCUCGGCCUCAAGUACAUCGGGAAUAGGAGUCGAUGAACCCGAUGCCGUCGGAGGAAUAGCCGUCACCGGUGCUGCCGCCACCGCAGGAGGUGGUGCUACAGGAGCAGCAGGUGCGGGCGGAUCCCUUGGCACAGAUGCCGCCGCUGCCGCCUGUCGCGCCAUUAUCUCGUGGAGCUGUCCAAUCUGCUCCCCUUGAAGCCGCAUAGCCCCAGCCAAAGCCGCCAUCUGGGCUCGCAGCUCGCGCACUUCAUCCGAUCCCGCCUGCUCGGGCACUUCAUCGGGCAGUGCCGAAGCGGCUCUACGCGUGUAGCGUCUCGGGGACAUCGUUCCUGAAACGCAUCACACGCAUUAGCACUCAACACACGUGACUCUUACACGUUCCAAAUAACUACCCAAUUAAGAGAAAGCACAAGCCUAAUUAUUUCCACUCUCGGUGUUAUGUGGUCGGCCGCCCCACAAGGUCCCUUAAGUGGACAACAAUUAAGCCUUCUAGUCCAUCUCUACUUCCUUCUAGAGAAGUGUUAUUGUUAACCCAAUCAUUCACUUUCGCAUAAGCCAAAUCCACGUUAAGCGUUUCCUAAGCUCCUAAGGUCUCCAAUUCCUAGGGUUCCUAGGCCAUUCCUAGACUUUUGCUUUCCACUUCUCUCUGAUACCAUUAUAUCUGUCACGCCCCAAUCCCCGCCAAUUUGGUCAGGUUCGGGUCACGUCAACAGACGCCGAACGGACAGAGCCACCCCUGUCUGCCCAAGGCUCCAACAACCAUGUAUAAUAAAGCAAUCAACAGGGGAUUUGCAUAUAUAAUACAAGGCUUGCAUGAGGGCAAGUAACAACGGAAGCGAAAGCUCUAAGCUAAACAUUUACCUAUACAUAAUACUUGAUUGCUUUUGCACCAAAUAGAAGUAAACUGAACUAUUACAUUUCAUGCUUUCAUCCAUAAUUCUUUACAUUUAGCCAUUCACCAAAAUACAUAUUAUUUUCAACUUUACAACUUUCUAGAACAACAAAAGAAGUUGAUACAUGUAUACAAAAGGGGAAUGACUACAAAAUGUAAAAUAGUCCCGGUGGCCGCUAUCUACGGCGCUAAACCCUUGCCUCGGUCCUCCGCCGCCCCGCUCGUGCUAGGACCUGUAGGGUUAGUGGUGUGAGAACUAAACAAAGUUCCCAGUGGGCUCGGCAUCCGACCUCGCCGACUUACCCACUAGGUCUAUCCAGGCAUAAGUAUUUCAAAGGAGGGAAAGUAACCACUACUAAUGCAACUAAUACUAUGCCUGCAAGAAAGAGGUCAACAGAUA
Molecule: long non-coding RNA, 8577 nt
Filed under: Ananas comosus (pineapple)
Lineage: Eukaryota; Viridiplantae; Streptophyta; Magnoliopsida; Poales; Bromeliaceae
Description: long non-coding RNA (ACOM_LNC036900)
Source: RNAcentral